CGUAUUCACUACUGUAAGUCGCUCUGGAUAAGAGCGUCUGCUAAAUGACGUAGA
Non-coding RNA from Salmo salar (Atlantic salmon), 54 nucleotides. The record is from Rfam. Lineage: Eukaryota; Metazoa; Chordata; Actinopteri; Salmoniformes; Salmonidae.